This 420-nucleotide ribosomal RNA is filed under the name uncultured bacterium. RNAcentral describes it as "bacterial SSU rRNA". It matches the Rfam family "Bacterial small subunit ribosomal RNA", at positions 60 to 509 of the family's 1533-position model. The record is from RNAcentral.
AGUCGAACGAGGGGGCAACCCCUAGUGGCAGACGGGUGAGUAACACGUGGUCAACCUACCGUUUUGUGGGGGAUAACCGGCCGAAAGGUUGGCUAAUACCGCAUACGUCGCGGCCGGCAUCGGCCGUUGAUAAAAGGAGCAAUUCGCAAGACGACGGGACCGCGUCCCAUUAGCUAGUUGGUGAGGUAAUGGCCCACCAAGGCUCCGAUGGGUAGCUGGUUUGAGAGAGCGACCAGCCACACUGGGACUGAGAAACGGCCCAGACUCCUACGGGAGGCAGCAGUGAGGAAUUUUCCGCAAUGGGCGAAAGCCUGACGGAGCGACGCCGCGUGUGGGAAGAAGGCCUUCGGGUCGUAAACCACUGUCGAAGGGGAAGAUAUUGACGGUACCCUUGGAGGAAGCCCCGGCUAACUACGUGCC